This 430-nucleotide ribosomal RNA is filed under the name uncultured bacterium. RNAcentral's name for it is "partial 16S ribosomal RNA". It matches the Rfam family "Bacterial small subunit ribosomal RNA", at positions 354 to 796 of the family's 1533-position model. The record is from RNAcentral.
GUGGGGAAUAUUGCACAAUGGGCGCAAGCCUGAUGCAGCAACGCCGCGUGAGGGAUGACGGCCUUCGGGUUGUAAACCUCUUUUAGUAGGGAAGAAGCGAAAGUGACGGUACCUGCAGAAAAAGCACCGGCUAACUACGUGCCAGCAGCCGCGGUAAUACGUAGGGUGCAAGCGUUGUCCGGAAUUAUUGGGCGUAAAGAGCUCGUAGGCGGCUUGUCGCGUCUGCUGUGAAAACCCGAGGCUCAACCUCGGGCCUGCAGUGGGUACGGGCAGGCUAGAGUGCGGUAGGGGAGAUUGGAAUUCCUGGUGUAGCGGUGGAAUGCGCAGAUAUCAGGAGGAACACCGAUGGCGAAGGCAGAUCUCUGGGCCGUAACUGACGCUGAGGAGCGAAAGCAUGGGGAGCGAACAGGAUUAGAAACCCUAGUAGUCC